RNAcentral lists this transfer RNA (73 nucleotides) under Felis catus (domestic cat). It matches the Rfam family "tRNA". Rfam says of the family: Transfer RNA (tRNA) molecules are approximately 80 nucleotides in length. Their secondary structure includes four short double-helical elements and three loops (D, anti-codon, and T loops). Further hydrogen bonds mediate the characteristic L-shaped molecular structure. tRNAs have two regions of fundamental functional importance: the anti-codon, which is responsible for specific mRNA codon recognition, and the 3' end, to which the tRNAs corresponding amino acid is attached (by aminoacyl-tRNA synthetases). tRNAs cope with the degeneracy of the genetic code in two manners: having more than one tRNA (with a specific anti-codon) for a particular amino acid; and 'wobble' base-pairing, i.e. permitting non-standard base-pairing at the 3rd anti-codon position. RNAcentral also lists the same sequence under 2 other names. The record is from Rfam by way of RNAcentral. Lineage: Eukaryota; Metazoa; Chordata; Mammalia; Carnivora; Felidae.
UCCUGGCUGGCUCAGUCGGUAGAGCAUGAGACUCUUGAUCUCCAGGUUGUGAGUUUGAGCCCCACGUUGGGUG